UACGUAGGGCGCAAGCGUUAUCCGGAAUUAUUGGGCGUAAAGAGCUCGUAGGCGGUUUGUCGCGUCUGCCGUGAAAGUCCGGGCUCAACUCCGGAUCUGCGUGGGUACGGGCAGACUAGAGUGAUGUAGGGGAGACUGGAAUUCCUGGUGUAGCGGUGAAAUGCGCAGAUAUCAGGAGGAACACCGGUGGCGAAGGCGGGUCUCUGGGCCGAUACUGACGCUGAGGAGCGAAAGCGUGGGGAGCGAACAGG
This 251-nucleotide ribosomal RNA is filed under the name uncultured bacterium. Its description in RNAcentral is "partial 16S ribosomal RNA". It matches the Rfam family "Bacterial small subunit ribosomal RNA", at positions 524 to 776 of the family's 1533-position model. The record is from RNAcentral.